UCUACAAAGGGACGGUACUAGA
RNAcentral lists this non-coding RNA (22 nucleotides) under Arabidopsis thaliana (thale cress). Lineage: Eukaryota; Viridiplantae; Streptophyta; Magnoliopsida; Brassicales; Brassicaceae. The record is from RNAcentral.